CUCAUAAAAAAUCCUUCCUUCUUAGAUCCAACUAUGGAAGACAUUUCCAUACUCGAUCAAAUUUGGCGGAUGAAGCAGUUCCUCAGAAGUAGAUCCUUCCUAGAUCNAGUGGUGGAAAACAUUUCUCUGCAAGAUCAUAUUUGGUAUCUUUCACCCUGACUUAGGGAAGUUUUCUUUUCUCCUUCCUUUCUCACUUUUAUUGCACUUUGUCCACAUCUGUUGAUUGUACCGAUUGUUGAUCUCAUGAUUAUGACACACUGAGGACAUUGUGUAGUUUAAGUGUGGUCUAUUGGGGGAGAUUUUCACCUUUUAUUUGUUUAACUUUCUUUUCUUUCUUUAGGUUUUUCUGUUUCCAGGUUGUUUUUCUUGUUUUCCUUAUUUUUGUUUUGUUUUAAGCUUGUGUCUGUGUACAAUUUUGCAUGUUUCUCCUGAUUUCUAGACUUUGUUUAGGUUCUAGAUUCUUCCUUCACUUGAUAGAUACAAAUUGGUUUGAAAUCCUUGCUUUUCUUUGCUUGGAAACAUGAUUAUGAUGUUUGAGAGGUUGAUUGAUUGUGACAAAUACCGUGUGUAAGGAUUUGAGCCACUUUAUGUUCUUUCUUAUGUGAUAUACCUCUUGAUUGCUUGCACAUGUGCCUUGGCUUGACUUUUUUUGGUGAUUCGUGAUUGAUAUGCAUGUUUGGAAGUGAUAAAGGCAGUUUUGUUCUAAAGCCUCUCUAGCUAAAUAAGCCUACCUUGUUUUGAUCCUAUGAUAACCCUUGUUGGCCUACCUAUUCUUUGUUUUCANGCUCAUUAAUUACCCUUAAGUGAAAAACCAUGAUUAUGUGAACCUUCGGGAAUUUUGGAGCUUUGGAAUUGUUUUGGGAAUAAGUGUGGUCUUCCUAGGGAUUCUUAUGAAUUGGCUAGUCAAUUUUCUUGGCUCCUCUAGUGCUUGUUGUGUAAAUAUGUUGUGUAUCUUGUCUUUUACGGUUAUGUUCUAAAAAAAUUGAGAAAACAAAAGAGACAAGAUAAGAAAAGAUAGAAAAAAUCACAAAAUAGAAAAAAAAAAUCAGAAAAAUAAAAAAAGAUGUGAAUAAUGGAGUCAAAAGGAGGAUUGAAUUAGAGGUUUUGGGUGUAAUUUGAUUGUGUUUUCACUUGCUCCCCAUUACCCUAAACACAUGAGAGAAACAAUGAUAAUGCAUCUAUGAGGUUCUUCUGCUUUAGAUUCACCUCUUGAGUUGUGUCAACACCCAAUUUCGUCCGGGAAAGUAAAUAAUCAAAAUUAAAUAAUAAGAGAAUAAUAAUUAAUGGUGGGUAAAGAAAAAAAAGGAAAAAUAAAAUAAUAAAAUAAUCUUCCUUAAUGCAAGACACAUCAUUUUAGAAUGUUUUUGAAAUAUUAAUUUAAUAUGGUAAUAAUUUGAAUUAUAUUGUCUGACAAUAAUUACAAUUAAUGUCUUGCAUAUUUAUUUGAUUUAUUUGAUUGCAAUCAAGACUAUUUCUUUCCUUAUUUUGUCUAUUGUCAAUUAAUUCACUUUUAAGGCAAGAUUGUCAUAAUAUUACAAUAUAUGCCUAUAAGUACACACUCUGGGGAAAGAAAAAGGGACGGAAAAAAUAGAGGAAAACACUUAUAAAUAUUAGAGAUUGAAGGAGAGAGUAUAGAGAAAAAAUAUGUUCUCACACAUAAAGGUUUUGUGAGCAACAAUCACUGAGGAAGCACUAAGGGAAUUCCAGAAGCUAAAAAGGUAUGUCUGUACUCCUAUUCUUCUCCUUUUAUUAUACUUUAAAGUUUUCUUCCAAAUAUUUUUUUUUUUUUACACACAGACAAUGUUUUCUUAAAAUCAUGAUUUUUUAAAUAUAAGUGUGCGUUGACCUAUGGCCAGUUUCUUUUCUUCUUUUUCCACCAUAUUUUUAACACGAAAAAUACAAAACUAUUUAAAACCAAAAAAAGGUUAAUUUUUGUUAAACUAAAUCUUUUUAUCAAAAUUACG
Molecule: long non-coding RNA, 1964 nt
Filed under: Vigna radiata
Lineage: Eukaryota; Viridiplantae; Streptophyta; Magnoliopsida; Fabales; Fabaceae
Description: long non-coding RNA (VRAD_LNC002171)
Source: RNAcentral